ACGGGUGAGUAAUGCCUAGGAAUCUGCCUGGUAGUGGGGGACAACGUUUCGAAAGGAACGCUAAUACCGCAUACGUCCUACGGGAGAAAGCAGGGGACCUUCGGGCCUUGCGCUAUCAGAUGAGCCUAGGUCGGAUUAGCUAGUUGGUGGGGUAAUGGCUCACCAAGGCGACGAUCCGUAACUGGUCUGAGAGGAUGAUCAGUCACACUGGAACUGAGACACGGUCCAGACUCCUACGGGAGGCAGCAGUGGGGAAUAUUGGACAAUGGGCGAAAGCCUGAUCCAGCCAUGCCGCGUGUGUGAAGAAGGUCUUCGGAUUGUAAAGCACUUUAAGUUGGGAGGAAGGGCAGUAAGCGAAUACCUUGCUGUUUUGACGUUACCGACAGAAUAAGCACCGGCUAACUCUGUGCCAGCAGCCGCGGUAAUACAGAGGGUGCAAGCGUUAAUCGGAAUUACUGGGCGUAAAGCGCGCGUAGGUGGUUUGUUAAGUUGGAUGUGAAAGCCCCGGGCUCAACCUGGGAACUGCAUCCAAAACUGGCAAGCUAGAGUACGGUAGAGGGUGGUGGAAUUUCCUGUGUAGCGGUGA
RNAcentral lists this ribosomal RNA (586 nucleotides) under uncultured bacterium. RNAcentral describes it as "bacterial SSU rRNA". It matches the Rfam family "Bacterial small subunit ribosomal RNA", at positions 102 to 684 of the family's 1533-position model. The record is from RNAcentral.